This 465-nucleotide ribosomal RNA is filed under the name uncultured bacterium. RNAcentral's name for it is "partial 16S ribosomal RNA". It matches the Rfam family "Bacterial small subunit ribosomal RNA", at positions 28 to 507 of the family's 1533-position model. The record is from RNAcentral.
GACGAACGCUGGCGGCGUGCUUAACACAUGCAAGUCGAACGGAAAGGCCCUGUUUGCGGGGUACUCGAGUGGCGAACGGGUGAGUAACACGUGGGUGAUGUGCCCUGCACUUCGGGAUAAGCAUGGGAAAGUGGGUAUUAUACAGAAUAGGAACCAUCUUUAGUGUGGGGGUUGGAAGGUUUUUUCGGUGUAGGAUGAGCUCGCGGCCUAUCAGCUUGUUGGUGGGGUAAUGGCCUACCAAGGCGGCGACGGGUAGCCGGCCUGAGAGGGUGUACGGCCACAUUGGGACUGAGAUACGGCCCAGACUCCUACGGGAGGCAGCAGUGGGGAAUAUUGCACAAUGGGCGCAAGCCUGAUGCAGCGACGCCGCGUGGGGGAUGAAGGCCUUCGGGUUGUAAACUCCUUUCGGUAGGGACGAAGCUUUUUGUGACGGUACCUAGAUAAGAAGCACCGGCUAACUACGUG